Molecule: ribosomal RNA, 375 nt
Filed under: uncultured bacterium
Lineage: Bacteria
Description: bacterial SSU rRNA
Rfam family: Bacterial small subunit ribosomal RNA
Source: RNAcentral
AUUGAACGCUGGCGGCAUGCCUUACACAUGCAAGUCGAACGGCAGCACGGGAGCAAUCCUGGUGGCGAGUGGCGAACGGGUGAGUAAUAUAUCGGAACGUGCCCAGUCGUGGGGAUAACGUAGCGAAAGCUACGCUAAUACCGCAUACUAUCUAUGGAUGAAAGCGGGGGAUCGCAAGACCUCGCGCGAUUGGAGCGGCCGAUAUCAGAUUAGGUAGUUGGCGAGGUAAAGGCUCACCAAGCCGACGAUCUGUAGCUGGUCUGAGAGGACGACCAGCCACACUGGGACUGAGACACGGCCCAGACUCCUACGGAGGCAGCAGUGGGGAAUUUUUGGGACAAUGGGCGCAAGCCUGAUCCAGCAAUGCCGCGUGCA